Non-coding RNA from Ochotona princeps (American pika), 475 nucleotides. NCBI's taxonomy places the organism in Eukaryota, Metazoa, Chordata, Mammalia, Lagomorpha, Ochotonidae. The record is from the annotation of a RefSeq genome assembly.
ACGUUCUCUUGAGUCUCAUGUGUCCCUUAACUGUAAGAGCAAAGUCUGUCUGAACCCCAGAGUCAACACCCGACAGUGCAGGUGCAACAGAAGAGCCAUGAAGAGACAGCUAGGGGCUCUGCUGGGGCUUCUGUGGGUCCAGAUUUUCCGGGUGAAGGGGCUGGAGGUGGAGCAGAAUCCUUCAGCCCUGAAUAUCCAGGAGGGAGCCAACUCUACCCUGCGCUGCAAUUUUUCUGCCGCUGUGAACAAUGUGCAGUGGUUCCGUCAGAAUCCCGGGAGCAGCCUCAUCAGAUUAUUUUACAUAGCUUCAGGGACAAAGGAGAAUGGAAGGUUGACGUCAACCAUCAAUUCCCGGGAGCGCUACAGCACCCUCCACAUCGCAGCCUCCCAACUGGCUGACUCAGGCACCUACCUCUGUGCGGCAGAGGCACAGUGCUCCCAGGUCACCUGCUGCCUGCACCCAAACUGCAACUGA